AGAGUUUGAUCCUGGCUCAGAUUGAACGCUAGCGGGAUGCUUUACACAUGCAAGUCGAACGGCAGCACAGUAAGAGCUUGCUCUUAUGGGUGGCGAGUGGCGGACGGGUGAGGAAUACAUCGGAAUCUACCUUUUCGUGGGGGAUAACGUAGGGAAACUUACGCUAAUACCGCAUACGACCUUCGGGUGAAAGCAGGGGACCUUCGGGCCUUGCGCGGAUAGAUGAGCCGAUGUCGGAUUAGCUAGUUGGCGGGGUAAAGGCCCACCAAGGCGACGAUCCGUAGCUGGUCUGAGAGAUGAUCAGCACCACUGGAAUGAGACACGGUCCAGAAUCCUACGGGAGGCAGCAGUGGGGGAUAUUGGACAAUGGGCGCAAGCCUGAUCCAGCCAAUGCCCGGCGUGUGUGAAGAAGGCCUUCGGGUUGUAAAGCACUUUUAUCAGGAACGAAAUACCACGGGUCAAUAACCGGUGGGGCUGACGGUACCUGAGGAAUAAGCACCGGCUAACUUCGUGCCAGCAGCCGCGGUAAUACGAAGGGUGCAAGCGUUAAUCGGAAUUACUGGGCGUAAAGGGUGCGUAGGCGGUUCGUUAAGUCUGUUGUGAAAUCCCCGGGCUCAACCUGGGAAUGGCAAUGGAUACUGGCGAGCUAGAGUGUGUCAGAGGAUGGUGGAAUUUCCGGUGUAGCAGUGAAAUGCGUAGAGAUGUGGAGGAAUACCGAUGGCGAAGGCAGCCCCCUGGGAUGAUACUGACGCUCAUGCACGAAAGCGUGGGGAGCAAACAGGAUUAGAUACCCUGGUAGUC
This 801-nucleotide ribosomal RNA is filed under the name uncultured bacterium. Its description in RNAcentral is "bacterial SSU rRNA". It matches the Rfam family "Bacterial small subunit ribosomal RNA", at positions 8 to 795 of the family's 1533-position model. The record is from RNAcentral.